AUACCAGAGCUGAGUGACCAGAGCCAGAAGUUGCGCCGCUUGAAGUGCCUCGUCCUGUCGCUGCCGCCACCCAACCUGGACACCAUGCGGGAGCUCUUCCGACACCUGUGCAGCGUUAUUGACCGGCGCGAGUCGAAUCGAAUGUCUGUGCAGAGCGUCGCCAUCGUGUUUGGGCCGACGCUGCUGAGACCGGCGGAGGAGGGCGGCAAUAUCGCCAUGUACAUGGUCUUCCAGAACAAGAUUGUAGAGCAGAUCCU
Nanorana parkeri is the source of this 257-nucleotide long non-coding RNA. RefSeq lists it as uncharacterized. The transcript has 2 exons. NCBI's taxonomy places the organism in Eukaryota, Metazoa, Chordata, Amphibia, Anura, Dicroglossidae. The record is from RefSeq and is a predicted model, not a curated record.